Long non-coding RNA from Columba livia (rock pigeon), 5442 nucleotides. RefSeq lists it as uncharacterized. The record is from RefSeq and is a predicted model, not a curated record. NCBI's taxonomy places the organism in Eukaryota, Metazoa, Chordata, Aves, Columbiformes, Columbidae. The transcript has 2 exons.
GCGUGUAAGUAAAUUAACCCUCGCAGGAUUGCGAGUGUAUUAUAAAUUUACCCUCGCAGAAUCGCGAGUGUACACUUUCCGUACUCACUAUGAGUACGUGUAUCUCUUUAAAAAUAAUCCCGCACCGUGUUCAGGCAAGUGUGUAUUCGUCUCGGACUCAGGGCUGGCUCCGGCAUUGUUCUGAGUGAAGCCACAUGCAUGCACUCUGUGGACCGCCUGUUGUGUUUGUUGCUGCCCCUUAAUAAUUUUCCUCAACUGGUAUCCGAACCUUUAUUUAAGUCACUUUGGAGUGUUAAAACCCUAUUUCUCACCGGUUUAAUAAAAGUUGUUUUGGACCCUGUUGUCCCUUAAACUAACCUUGGGGUACCUCCGUGACACAUGUAUUUUCAGAUAACUAAAUUUGGUAUUAAACAUUAAAAUAUCCAUGUGUGGAAUAUUGAAAAUAACCUGGUCAGACAGUAUUGGACUCUGAAAUGAGUGCAGGCUGAGGUAAACAGACAUCACAGUUUGAGAUAAGUUGUAUUGUUAUAACUGGUCCCACUGAGAAAGCCUCACAUUUCUCACAUUUAUGUUCUUUUUCUUCUUAGAUUCUCCUGUUUCACGUAGUACUUGCUGGAUUAUUGCAGUGAUUCUAGGGAUGCUCUUCUUGGCACUGCUGGGAACAACAGUGAGAAGUAUACAUAUAAGUCCCUGAGAGGCUGUGCAGAGGAACGGAUGGCACUGGAAAGCUGUCUUCUCCCUGGACACUCUGGGAUGGUGGUGUUCUCCCAGAUCUCCGCUGUCUAACCCAACGUAAAGGAAAGGCUGCCCCGACCUGAGGUGCUUCCCUGGAACUGAAACCCCAGGUUCUCUCUCCUAAACUCCAUUCUAUUUUAUUUUAACAUUACUACAUCUUGCAAUAAUCUUAAUACAAGGUUAACAUAAGACUAUUUGUUUGGCCAGCAGGUCGAGGGAGGUGAUUCUGCCCCUCUACUCUGCUCUGAUGAGACCCCAUCUGGAGCCCUGCAACCAGCUCUGGAGUCCUCAGUAGAGGAAAGACAUGGACUUGUUGGAGAGGGGCCAGAGGAGGGUCACAAAGAUGAUCAAAGGGCUGGAACAGCUCUUCUAUGAGAACAGACUGAGAGAGUUGGGGUUGUUCAGUCUGGAGAAGAGAAGGCUCCAGGGAGAUCUUAUUGCAGCCUUCCAGUAGUUAAAAGGGGCCUGUAAGAAAGAGGAGGACAGAUAUUUUAGCAGGAUCUCUUACAACAGGACAAGAGGUAAUAGUUUCAAAUUAAAAGAGGGGAGAUUCAGGCUAAAUAUGAGGAAGACAUUUUUUUACAAUGAGAGUGGUGAAACACUCGCCCAGGUUGCCCAGAGAGGUGGUAGAAGGCCCAUGCCUGGAAAUAUUCAAUGCCAGGUUGGACAGAGCUCUGAGCAACCUGAUCUAGUUGAAUAUGUUCAUUGCAGGGGCCUUGGACUAGAUGAACUUUAAAGGUCCCUUCCAACCCAAACUAUUGUAUGAUUCUACGAUUACAUGAUUCUAUGACUGCGUAAUUUAUUCUAAGAUACCUUCUGCAUUCAGCUGCCAUCCAUAGUUUAAUAGGAAAGCAAAUAAUUUUCCAAGAAAUUCUGACAAAAUCCAUUUAGGUACAUAUUCAACUAAUUUUCUUCAGGAUUCAGACAUUUCUAGCCCAUCUCAAAGAUCAUAAGGCUAGAAGGUUAAAUAAAACAUGAGUAGAUUUCUGUAUUUCGAAGGGAUAUUUGUUUGAAAAAACAAAUUCUUGUUUCAGGAUGCCUGGAGUUCUUCUUAGACAGGGUCUAUAUUACCAUGGAGUGACAGUAAGUCUAAAAAUCUUUCCAAUGUCUUUCUCUGUCCCAAACCUACGUAGACCAAUGCUGUACAAUGUGUGGCCUUGCUAGUGGUAUGCUGAACGACCAUGGAUUACAAGAGGAGAUGGUAGACAGAUGACAGAGAUGCGAGGACAAGAAAGACUGCCUUGCUACCUCAUCCCUGCUGCAGCCUGCUCCACCAAGGGAGUCGCACUGAGCAGAGGGGAGGUGGCACCUUCCCCAGAGCUGGCUGGACGUGCUCAGCUUCCAGAAGGUGAGAUGAGGCAGGCAGUGGGUCACACAGCAAAGGAGGCCCAGGACACCAGAGCAGAGGAAGGUGAUAUGCUCUGGGUGCAGACUCCUAGCACAGCCUCAUGUCUUCUGGGGGCUGAGGGUGCUUACUGCAGGGAAUCAGUGAAAAAAAUGCAGAACUGGACCAGGGAAGGAUCAUCUUGCCAGGGUAGUGCACUCAGAGGAGAUUUCACCCACCGGGUGAAAUCUGAGUUUCUUUUGUUUUCAAGGUUAUCCUUGUUUGUUAUUUUGUGCUUUUACAAAGCCUGCUUUGGGAGGUGGGUGCCUUUGGGCAUGGUCCCUUCCAAAAGGAAGGAGGAAUGUUCUGUCUCAAGGCUUGGGCAAAGGCUUUUAUAACAGUAUUUUCAGUAGUCAGGACUAUGUUACUGAUAUAGCCCUUGUUCUUCUCCUUGUCUCCCCUCUGCCUACCCAAGCUACCAGUACAGUGGCCAUGAGUUCUUAAGCUAAGUCUCACCCUCUUUGCCUGUUAACCACCAUUUCCAGGGCCAUGAAGCAGUACUGAGAUGUAUUCAUGUCUGACAGUGCAAACUACAGCAGCAACUACAGUUCUUGGGCUUUCUCUUAGGAGUAUAUUGAGUGCAUCAGCCUUACUUUUUGUCUGUUGUAUAUAAACUUCUAUGAUGGAGCAGAGCCUGGUAUGGCUCACCUAUUUGCCCUUUCCAUGCUGAAUCCCUACAAACUCCAAGAGUACCCAGAGAAGAAAAUGAGGGACCACUUAUUUAUGUGCCAUUUAUAGUAAGAUUAGAAAAGUUAACAAUAAAAGAUGUCUUCCAAUUUCAGAUUUCAAGUGCAACAGGAUGGCAUAGGACGCUAGGCUACUUUCAGAACAGAUGACCUCUAUUCAUUUGGCUACAUAUAAGGACUAGAUCAUAUUUGUGAACAAAGGGCUUUCUAAAGCAAACCCCUCAUCAAUAAGGUAGAGAAAAUCACACUACUAAGAAUAAUACUGAAGGUUGUGACAUACCAGAUAAAAAAAAUUUACAGUAGUGCUAGACCUCUGCCUUGCAAAAUACUAAUCUUGAUUGCCUUAGAAGGAUUUAAAAUUUUUUAGCAGCCAUCACAGCAAUUCUCUGAGAUUUUUUUGUGACUUACAAUAAAGAAUAAACACCAGUUUCAGCCCUACACCACAUGCUACAAGUCACACUCCAAUCAGAGAACUUGUCUGUGACCCUGCUUAUUGUAUGGGUACGAAAGGAGUUUAUUUUAAAAGUGUAAUCAGUUCAGAAGCAUUAAUACAUACUUCGGAAAUGUUAGUCCUUUAUGUUCAUUAGUUUCCUUUAACAGCUAUUUACUUUGAGUUACAAAGCAUAUGAAAAGAAAAGCAGAGGUGCUUCAAAUACCUUUUGAUAAAUAUUAUUGUUUUCCAUAUUUCUUUCUAGCAGAAUGUAAAGAAAAUCAGGCAGGAUUCAUGGCACGUAAAGUCUUCUCGUCUGUUUUUUCAGACUCCGAGGAGCACUCUCCUGUUUAAUAUGUAUGAUAGUACGUAAUGAAUACACCAGUCUUUCCUUGCCACACGAAAUUUGUGCCUUGUUCUCCCUGUAGUGCCUGAGGAAUGAAAGGAAUGGGUUUGCUUUGCCUUUGCAGAUUGUAACACUUGUGACUUUUCCAUAAUCAGCUUUUAGAUCCAUAAAUUAUAUUGACAGCACUGGAAGGGUGGGAUAGUAUUUGGGCUCUGAAAUGAAAACCAGUGUUUACACAUUCUGACACAAAAAUAAAUAUUUUAGCACAGCCUUCUCUUAAGGAACUGUGCAUUGCUGAGCUACUCCACUGGUUGUCAGAGAGAUGGGGACAGGGAAGGAGCAUGUCUGCACCGAGAAAAAGUAUUUUGACCCUUAGUCCCCAGUGGUUCAGGGAGCAUAGAGAUCAAAAUGCAUUUUAAGAAGGCAGCAGUGUGAGAAAGAUGUGUUCCUAGCCCAGGAGAGGGUGGGUCACAAAAGAGAAUUUAUACAAAUUUAGUUCAUGUUUUCUAAAGCAGUCACAUGUGAGCUAUUGUUACAAGAAUCAGGCUGCCACAGACAUCACGUACUUGCUCGUCAUUUGUAAUUUUGCAAGACUGACAUCUAAACUCGGAUACUUUUGUCAAUACCCAUUCAAGCAUUAUGCCAUCUGACAGUCCCUCCUAAUAACUGACUUGGUGGAAACCUUGUUGUCUUUCUGUUCUAUGCUGCCUGCAGUGUGAUAAAUUCAGCCUAAAAGUGGCUCAAUUUUUCUUAUGGUAUAUGAUGCAAUUUGAAGCAGUCCUGCUGUGUACAUAGUGUCAGAGGCGAGGGGGAAACCUUGAGAGAGAUUUUAAAAGUUCAGAUGAUCCAAUUCUUUUUAAAGAAUUUGUAUCUGUAGUCUAUUUUGCUUAAUAAUAUUAAUCACAAAAGCAGAAAUUAUUUUUUCACUGUGAUGUGACUUCUUUGGACCAUCUAUGAUAGUUAAUGCUGUGCAGACAUCCACUGAAGGGGGAGUUGCUUGGAAAUGUAGGGGAGGAUGCUCUCAGGAGCUUUUAACAACUGUCUGUUAAUAAUUUGACAUAGUUUUCAGGGAACAAGGUUUUGAGGGCUGUGAACACUCUGACAUAAUGACAUAUGUCAGACCCAGCCAAGCAUCUCGUAUCUGCUUUGAUGGCCAAUAAGACCUGUCAUGAAACAUCAGUUCAAUCAGAACAUGUUUUUUCCAUCUAGUUCCCAGCUUCCUUUCUAAAUCUUGCAUAAUUUCACAGCUGGGUCAACUGACAGUACAAAAGCAAAGAAGCAGCAACCUUGCUUCAUAUUCUUUCAAGCUGGCUGUCCUCAGGAGGGAUCUACCCAGCCUGACAUAGAUGAUGAUGACUGAAAUGGGAAGUGAAGAAUGGUGGCACCAUUCAUAGGCUGAAUCAUUCAUAAUGGAGACCCACAGACAACAACCAUAAAGCUCUCUUGGGUUCAUUUUGACUCCCACCAAGAAAGGGAGGACUUUUUUCACUGAACUUUGGAGAAGAACAGGUUUUCUGACUGGAAAUAAAGCAUUUUGGGUAUUGGAUGGGCAAAAUACCCAUUUAUUCCAUUACUCAUGGUUCUGGUUUGGGGUGGAACUUUCAACUUGAUUAUAAUCUGAGAAAUUCUAAGAGUAGUUGUUAUUUUAUUCAGCUAUUUUGGAAAGAAGAAAAUAUCAUGUGCGUAAAAUAACCCUGGCUUAUCAGCCUCCUACAGGAACAGAUGUGUAUGAGCACCAUUCUGCCAGACCUGGCAGUUCUUAGCACUUUGAACUGCUAAAACAUACUUAGCAACAGUAAUUAACUAACAGUGAGUAAUUUAUUUGAAAUAAACUUCCAAUUAAACAUAAUAUUUCUGCAGA